UACGUAGGGUGCAAGCGUUAAUCGGAAUUACUGGGCGUAAAGCGUGCGCAGGCGGUUGUGCAAGACAGAUGUGAAAUCCCCGGGCUCAACCUGGGAACUGCAUUUGUGACUGCACAGCUUGAGUGCGGCAGAGGGGGAUGGAAUUCCUGGUGUAGCAGUGAAAUGCGUAGAGAUCAGGAGGAAUACCGAUGGCGAAGGCAGGUCCCUGGGCUGACACUGACGCUCAUGCACGAAAGCGUGGGGAGCAAACAGG
RNAcentral lists this ribosomal RNA (253 nucleotides) under uncultured bacterium. RNAcentral describes it as "partial 16S ribosomal RNA". It matches the Rfam family "Bacterial small subunit ribosomal RNA", at positions 524 to 776 of the family's 1533-position model. The record is from RNAcentral.